Molecule: long non-coding RNA, 1668 nt
Organism: Geospiza fortis (medium ground-finch)
Lineage: Eukaryota; Metazoa; Chordata; Aves; Passeriformes; Thraupidae
Source: Ensembl
CUCAGAACUUUCAUGACUGGUUAAUUACAUGCUGUUGAAUCACAAUCUUUCAUCAAAUUGCUGUUUCCACACUAAGCACCAAAGUAAGUGGUUCUGUUGGUUAAAGUCUGGUGGCUUCCGGAGAUAUGACAAUGCACUGUCAUGUAAAAUACUUGGUCCCUGGGAAUCUCCAGUCGGGGUGAGUAAGGUAAGGCAGAUGGGAGCACCACGUGACACAGCAACACUUUGAAUCAAGAAAAUUAAAUGAUCUCUACCUAACAGAGACUGUAUUGCUGCUGCUCCUGGGUAUAGAUAAAGAAUGUGUCAUGUUCCUGCUGUAAUGACCCAUUUUUAAGGAAAAGGUAGAUAAAGAUUAUGAAAUUCCUUCAAUAUAUUUUCAUCAGCAUUACAGCAUAAUUUUUAACCCCUUUCAAAGGUCUCAAUGCUGAAUUCUUAGUUCUCAUUAAUAAAUAUUUCCAUGUGCAUCAGGGGAUGCUAGAAUUUUACUGAAGUGACUGUUGACCAGGAACUGUACAGCUUUUACAGUUACAGAACCAUUUAGGUUUGGAAAAGACCCCCAGGACCAUCAAGUCCAAUCUUUUACUCAUCACCAGCUCCUUGACUAGACCAUGGCACCAAGUGCCUCAUCCGGUGUUUUCUAGAACACCUCCAGGGAUGGUGGCUCCUGCCACCUCCUGGGCAGUCCAUUCCAAUGCUCAGCAAGCCUUUCUGAAACUAAAUUCCUGAAAUUCCUCCUGAUGUUCAACCUCAAACUCCUCUAGCACCAUUUGAGGCCAUUUCCUCUUGUCCUGUCACUUGUUGCCUGAGAGAAGAAGCCAACCUCCACCUAUGGUGGGUUAAGACCAUUACAUCAUAUUGGGAGUAUUGCUUCUGUAGAAUUCCCGAAUUAACUCUCAGACUGCAGAAUACAUUAAGGACACCUCAUGCAGUAGGAGAGCUGCAAUUUCUAUUGCCCUGGAACAUACAGCCACCAGUGUGAAGACACACCUGACUCAUAAAUGCAUUACUCUGGACCACUGAUCUUAAACAUAGCUGAGAUACCCCAGUAAUGGCACUGGCCCUCAAAGGCCUCUCACCAUAGCACCAUCCUUCAGAAAAAGACUUAAUUUCAAGGCAAAAUGGUUACAAGGCCAAAGGCUGUUUCUUUGAUAUGCUGGGAAGCACGACAGGACUAUCACUCCUGAUUGUUCUGUGAUAAAAGUGUUCUCCACAGUGUGACCCGUCUAACAGGGUAAAAGGGGUAAUCUUGACAGAAGUUUUGUGCUAGCUGAAUGGGGAAAAGGGAGAAAAGUACUCAGAUUUUGAGUAGAUCCCUAGUAAAACCCUGCCUUGGUCUUCCCCCUUUUGGUUGUGGGGUUUUUUAGGUUGUUUGUUUUGUUUUGUUGGUUUUCUUUGUUUUGUUUUUUUAAUAAAUUUCUAUGGUUUGCAUUAUGAAGGAAAAAACCUCUUUUUCAAGAAUACUCAUUUUUUACAGCUUCUAAAAGUUGUAGCAUCACCUUAGAACCAAACAUUAAGCAGGGACUAUAAAUGCUUUCUUGCAUCCCAUUUCCAAAGCAACACACCUGUCUGCUAUUCAGGUGUAUACACUAAACUGGGCAUAACGAAAAGUUUAACCUGCACUUAAGUUCAAAACUUAAAAAAUGCCAGUACAGAGACUGGUUUUGUAUU